CGAGGAAUUUUCCGCAAUGGGGGCAACCCUGACGGAGCAACGCCGCGUGGGUGAAGAAGUCUUUCGGGAUGUAAAACCCUUUUCUGUGGGAAGAAAGAAAGACGGUACCACAGGAAUAAGCAUCGGCUAACUACGUGCCAGCAGCCGCGGUAAUACGUAGGAUGCAAGCGUUGUCCGGAAUUACUGGGCGUAAAGGGCGAGCAGGUGGCAAGUCAAGUCUGAUGUAAAAUCUCCCGGCUUAACUGGGAGGGGCCAUUGGAAACUGGCUAGCUGGAGUGCAGGAGAGGCUAACGGAAUUCCCGGUGUAGUGGUGAAAUGCGUAGAUAUCGGGAGGAACACCAGUGGCGAAGGCGGUUAGCUGGCCUGUAACUGACACUGAGGCGCGAAGGCUAGGGGAGCGAAC
This 403-nucleotide ribosomal RNA is filed under the name uncultured bacterium. RNAcentral's name for it is "bacterial SSU rRNA". It matches the Rfam family "Bacterial small subunit ribosomal RNA", at positions 355 to 773 of the family's 1533-position model. The record is from RNAcentral.